UGGAAUAGAAAUGAGCCUAAACCAACCACACAGUAAAUUAAAGCCAACAAUAAUGGAAACUGAAGCUGAAGCACAUUCCAGGUAGAGGAAAUGCCAGCUCAGCACCUGUCUCCUAGUGCCAACUGCACAGAGCCCUGGGGAAAGGGCAAAGCGAAGACCCACUGGUCAUGCAGAGGAAUUAGAGCUGCAGAACAUAUGGUUUCUGUUUAUAUUACUUUCCUACAAAAUUGCAGAUUACUUUCAGAGGGUAAGUGAUGCAAAUAUUACAAAUUUUUGUCCCUCAGAGUCCCUAGAAUGGACAAGUUAUAAAAUGAAAACUUCCUAAAAAAUGGUAUAUUUGUAGAAGGAGAUACCGCAAUAGGAUAGAUUAUGGUUUCAAUCUGAAAUUUAAUCUUGGUUUUAAUCUGAAAAAUAAAAAAGGAAUCUUUCCUGCCCCAUAAAUCUGCCUGAAAUGCUGCUGUGAAGUCCUACUUAUCUUUAAGUUUUCCUUUUUCUAUAGCCUCAUUUGGAGCAUAUCUUCUCUGGGAAAUCAGUGGAGAACCACCAUAUGAACCUCCAGUGUUUAUGCAGUGCAUUUUAAGCUCGCUUAGACAUGGAUGAACCCAAUUGGGCACUAGGGACCCUUCAUGAAAGACAAAUGAAAAUGCUCAUGAAAUCCAUACAGAAUAGCUGAUGUACUUUUUUUUUUUUUCAUUUCACAGUUUAUUUACAUUAUCUUUUAUCCCAGUACUUGUCUCUGCACAUCAAGAGUUCCCAAGAUGGUACAGUGGGAAGCAUAAUUCCCACUUGUUUGGAUUGUUGAUUUCUUUAAAAAAAAUAUUUUUCUUUCCAGCACAUCAUGAGAGAAUCAGUCAGACUCCAAUGUGGUGUUCAAUGCAACGAUGCCCUCAUAUCGACGCUGAAUGUAUGCAGCUCUCAAAAUCCUUAAAAAACAGAAGUGCACUGUUCCAUUCUGGAGGAACAUUUUCUGUGACUGGGAAGUCUUGGCAUGUGGAACGAUUUUUGAGCAAAUACACGAUCCUCCAUCCUUGUGCUUUUGUUCUGCUCAGACACUGUGGGAAAGAACAAGGGAACGCUAUCAAGCUUUACUUUCUGAAGGUCUCAUCUGCAUGCUGUGGUUUGGUCACCUUCUGGCAGAUUCAACUUCUUGUAGACAAAGUAAAGAAGGUUUGAUCUCUCCAUCUCCUGCAAUCCUGUUUCUUUGGGCUAAAACUCCAACAUUCCAUGCAUUAUGAAAAAGGUGUGCCUCUGCCUAUAUCUUGCCUCCCUGUUGCUUUUUUUGUUUUUUUAACUUCACAAGUUAUCAGCUACAACCCCAACUUGUCAAUAAAAAUGCACUCAGUAAGCUGAAUCA
This 1354-nucleotide long non-coding RNA is filed under the name Calidris pugnax (ruff). RNAcentral's name for it is "lncRNA (ENSCPUG00000012353.1)". The record is from RNAcentral. Lineage: Eukaryota; Metazoa; Chordata; Aves; Charadriiformes; Scolopacidae.